This 450-nucleotide ribosomal RNA is filed under the name uncultured bacterium. Its description in RNAcentral is "bacterial SSU rRNA". It matches the Rfam family "Bacterial small subunit ribosomal RNA", at positions 354 to 796 of the family's 1533-position model. The record is from RNAcentral.
GUGGGGAAUUUUGGACAAUGGGCGCAAGCCUGAUCCAGCAAUGCCGCGUGAGUGAAGAAGGCCUUCGGGUUGUAAAGCUCUUUUGUCAGGGAAGAAACGGGUGAGGUUAAUACCUUUGCCUAAUGACGGUACCUGAAGAAUAAGCACCGGCUAACUACGUGCCAGCAGCCGCGGUAAUACGUAGGGUGCAAGCGUUAAUCGGAAUUACUGGGCGUAAAGCGUGCGCAGGCGGUUAUGUAAGACAGAUGUGAAAUGCCCGGGCUUAACCUGGGAACUGCAUUUGUGACUGCAUGGCUAGAGUGUGUCAGAGGGGGGUAGAAUUCCACGUGUAGCAGUGAAAUGCGUAGAUAUGUGGAGGAAUACCGAUGGCGAAGGCAGCCCCCUGGGAUAACACUGACGCUCAUGCACGAAAGCGUGGGGAGCAAACAGGAUUAGAUACCCUUGUAGUCC